This 226-nucleotide unclassified non-coding RNA is filed under the name Melitaea cinxia (Glanville fritillary). RNAcentral's name for it is "misc RNA ENSMCXG00005017127.1". The record is from RNAcentral. Lineage: Eukaryota; Metazoa; Arthropoda; Insecta; Lepidoptera; Nymphalidae.
AGAAUAGAACAGAAUAAGAACAGAACAGAAUAGAAUAGAACAUAAUAAGAACAGAAAAAAACAGAACAGAACAAAACUAAACAGAGUAGAGAACAAAAUAGAAUAGAACAGAACAGAAUAGGAUAAAACAGAAUAAAAACAGAACAGAAUAGAACAGAACAGAAUAGAACAGAAUAGAACAGAAUAGAACAGAACAGAAUAGAACAGAACAGAAUAGUACAGAACA